MicroRNA precursor from Bos indicus x Bos taurus (hybrid cattle), 84 nucleotides. The record is from Ensembl. NCBI's taxonomy places the organism in Eukaryota, Metazoa, Chordata, Mammalia, Artiodactyla, Bovidae.
GUUGCUGCUGCUCGCCAUCGAUCCCACCACUGCCACCACUGCUGCUACUGCUCCGCAGGUGCUGCUGGUGGUGAUGAUGAUAGU